AUUGUAUCCACGAUUGGGGAAUUUUCCGCAAUGGGCGCAAGCCUGACGGAGCAAUACCGCGUGAGGGAGGAAGGCUCUUGGGUCGUAAACCUCUUUUCUCAGGGAAGAAUAAAUGACGGUACCUGAGGAAUCAGCAUCGGCCAACUCCGUGCCAGCAGCCGCGGUAAUACGGAGGAUGCAAGCGUUAUCCGGAAUGAUUGGGCGUAAAGCGUCCGCAGGUGGCAGCGUAAGUCUGCUGUCAAAGGUCAGGGCUCAACCCUGAACAGGCAGUGGAAACUACACAGCUAGAGUGCGGUGGGGGCAGAGGGAAUUCCCAGUGUAGCGGUGAAAUGCGUAGAGAUUGGGAAGAACACCGGUGGCGAAAGCGCUCUGCUAGGCCGCAACUGACACUCAUGGACGAAAGCUAGGGGAGCGAAAGGGAUUAGAUACCCCAGUAGUCAAUCGUGGAUACAAU
RNAcentral lists this ribosomal RNA (454 nucleotides) under uncultured cyanobacterium. RNAcentral's name for it is "bacterial SSU rRNA". It matches the Rfam family "Bacterial small subunit ribosomal RNA", at positions 341 to 810 of the family's 1533-position model. Lineage: Bacteria; Bacillati; Cyanobacteriota. The record is from RNAcentral.